RNAcentral lists this long non-coding RNA (944 nucleotides) under Cyanistes caeruleus (blue tit). RNAcentral's name for it is "lncRNA (ENSCCEG00000007845.1)". Lineage: Eukaryota; Metazoa; Chordata; Aves; Passeriformes; Paridae. The record is from RNAcentral.
CCCACGUCAUGGCCACAACCAACACUACACCUGACUGAAUGAACAUUUCCCUCUACAGACAUGCAUUUCCUCAUUUCCUGCUUCAUUAUGAGCAUGCCCCAGCAUCUGCUUAGUGGAGGAUGAUCUUAGAAGAGGUAUUAGGAGGCCACUUGUGCGAUGGGAUCUUUGUCCUGCCUGGAUGAGUCACCAAAACCUCGAGGACAGCUCGAAUGGACUGUGGAAAAGCUGAGUGAGGGUGUGGUCCCUGCUGCAGGGAGAGCAAGACAGAGAGAACAGAUAGGUUCAAGGAUACAAUUCCCACAGUGUGAAGAGUUACAGGGUGAUAUCUGAGCCAUGGUUGCUGCAUUUUCCAGUGCCAGAUGUUCCUCACAAAGGCAAGCUACAGGAUCCUGAGGGCAGAGAUGGCGUGAUAGGAGUUUCAGCUGUGAGGCUGGGGGAGCUGUGAUUGCCAACAGGAUGCAAGCUCAUGAUAAAGCACAGCUCCCUGCACUGCGAUAGGUGUUGGCUGCAUUUGAUCCUGAACCAUGCAAAACAAGAGGAACAUUGCAUUCCUCUGCCUCCCAUUCAUGUGUUUCACCACAAGGGCUGUUCCCUGGCCAUUCCACGGUGAGUGUGAAAGAUUAACAUCUACGAUAGCUGAGCCAAAUCCUGGCUGCAGGUAAUUAUGCAGAAGGUAUCUCAUCUUCCCCUGGGGUCACUCUUCUACCAAGUGUUUUUACUCAAGCUGCCAGUUUUUGGGGGAGAUAAACUCGCUUGAACAAGUCUCCUGAGUUGCAGAGCUGUUAGUAUUGGACAGAGCUGGGUGCUCAUUUCCUCUUCUACCUGUUCUCUUCUGUGCUCUUGCCAAUGAAGAGAAAUGCUUUGUGCUUCUUAAACUGCAGUGAGGAUGUUCCCAUUCCCCACAACAUGGAAGCACCAGGGCAGAAAGGCACUCAGCUUUUAAA